Molecule: long non-coding RNA, 2651 nt
Filed under: Lactuca sativa (garden lettuce)
Lineage: Eukaryota; Viridiplantae; Streptophyta; Magnoliopsida; Asterales; Asteraceae
Description: long non-coding RNA (LSAT_LNC001614)
Source: RNAcentral
GGCCUUCUUGGCCAAUCGAUCCACGAUGACCUAUAUAGCAUCGAAACCCUUUGUCGUUAUGCGAAAUUUGGUGAUGAAGUCCAUCGUGACCUGCUCCUAUUUCCACAUGGGAAUCUCUACAGGAUGCAGCUUGCCAUGCGGCCUCUGGUGCUCGGCCUUGACCAUCCUGUAGGUCAAGCACCUCUCCACGUACCAAGCGAUCUCUUGCUUCAUGCACGACCACCAGUAACUCAAGCUCAGAUCUCAUUACAUCUUGGUGGCCCUCGGGUGAAUAAAGAAGUGAGACUUAUGAUCUUCCUCCAGUACAAUGUAUCUGACCCCACCAGACAUCAGAACCCAUACUCGACUGCACAAAACGCAUGUUCUCGCCUCUGAUCGUCUCAAGUUUCCAGUUCUCGGGUCGCAUCCCCUCAGCUUGAGCUUCCCUGAUCAAGCUCACAAGUGGAGAAUCCAUUGAUAUCCUCAUACAUGUCACUGGAGUAGAAGAUCCAGCUGACUUGCGGCUCAGAGCAUCCACAACCACGUUCCCUUUACCCGGAUGAUAAAGAAUCUCGUAGUCAUAAUCCUUGACUAUGUACAACCACCUGCGCACCCUCACGUUGAAGUUCGACUGAUUCAUUAUGUGUUUCAGACUCUUGUGGUCCGUGUAAAUGGUAUAGCGGACCCCGUCGAGAUAAUGUCUCCAAAUCUUGAGAGCGAAUAACACCGCUCCCAACUCCAAAUCGUACAUGGGAUAUCUCGUCUCAUGCGGCUUCAGCUGCCAUGAUGCAUAUUCUAUAACCAGUCCCCUCUGCAUGAGGACCGAUCCAAGUCUUGUGAUGGAUGCAUCACCGAACACUACAACUUCAUCAACUCCCUCUGGGAGAGUCAAGACUGGAGCCUUGCAAAGUAGUUGUCUGAGGGUCUCAAAUGCCCUCUGCUACUCAAGGCUCCACUAGAAAUCCACCCCUUUCCUCAUCAGACGAGGAGGGGUACUGCAGUCUUUGAUAAAUCAUGUAUGAAUCUCAGGUACUACCCAACUUAUCCCAAGAAGAUCCUGAUAUCCGAGGGAUAUUUCAGAACCUCCCACUGCAUAACCGCCUCGAUCUUGGCCGGACAGACCAAAAUCCCCUCUUGGUUGAUGAGAUGUCAAAGGAACUGAACCUCUCAUAACCAAAACUUAUACCGCGAUAACUAGGCAUAGAUCCGCUCUCAUCUCAGAACCCCCAAUAGCUCACGAAGGUGCUCCUCAUGUUGCUCUUUAGUCUUGGAAUACACCAAGAUAUCAUCUAUGAACACGAUGACCAAGUGAUCGUGCAUCGGUCUGCAGAAUCGAUUCAUCAGGUCCAUAUGUCGGCGUGUUGGUGAGCCCAAACGACAUCACCAUAAACUCGUAAUGUCCAUAACGAGUCCAGAACACAGUCUUCUACAUGUCCUCCUCCCUAACCAUAACCUGAUGGUACCCAGACCACAGGUGUAUCUUGGAGAACCAAGAUGUUCCCUGCAAAUGAUCAAAAAGAUCGUCUGUCCUCGGGAGUGGAUAAAUGUUCUUCACCGUUAACUUAUUCAACUUCCGAUAGUCAAUCCACAUUCGGUGUGAACUAUCUUUUUUCCUAACGAAGAGAAUCAGUGCUCCCCACGGAGAACUGCUCAGACGAAUGAACUAAUUGCCCAGGAGUUCCUAAAGCUAUGAUGACAACUCCUGCAUAUAUGGUGGUGCCAAUCGGUAUGAUGCCUUGGUGAUAGGGGCCGCACCUGGCACUAGCUCGACCCUAAAGUCCACCAUCCUCUCCGGAUGCACUCCGGGUAACUCCUCCGGAAACACGUCAGCAAAUUCCCUGACCAUUGGAAGCUCUGAAACCAAGACCUGAUCCCUAACCACUGGAGCCUUGCAAAGUAGUUGUCUGAGGGUCUCAAAUGCCCUCUGCUGCUCAAGGCCCCACUAGAAAUCCACCCCUUUCCUCGUCAGACGAGGAGGGGUACUGCAAUCUUGGAGAAAUCAUGUAUGAAUCUCAGGUACUACCCAACUAAUCCCAAGAAGAUCCUGAUAUCCGAGGGAUAUUAAAGAACCUCCCACUACAUAACCGCCUUGAUCUUGGCCGGACAGACCAAAAUCCCCUCUUGGUUGAUGAGAUAUCAAAGGAACUGAACCUCUCAUAACCAAAACUUAUAUUGCAAGAACUAGGCAUAGAGCCGCUCUCAUCUCAGAACCCCCAAUAGCUCACGAAGGUGCUCCUCAUGUUGCUCUCUAGUCUUGGAAUACACCAAGAUAUCAUCUAUGAGCACGAUGACCAACUGAUCGAGCAUCGGUCUGUAGACUCAAUUCAUCAGGUCCAUAUGUCGGCGUGUUGGUGAGCCCAAAAGACAUCACCAUAAACUCGUAAUGUCCAUAACCAGUCCAGAACACAGUCUUCUACAUGUCCUCUUCCUUAACCAUAACCUGAUGGUACCCAGACCUUAGGUAUAUCUUGGAGAACCAAGAUGUUCCCUACAAAUGAUCAAAAAGAUCAUCUAUCCUCGGGAGUGGAUAACUGUUCUUCACCGUCAAAUUAUUCAACUUCCGAUAGUCAAUCCACAUUCGGUGAGAACUAUCCUUUUUCCUAACGAAGAGAAUCAGUGCUCCCCACGAAGAACUGCUCAGACGAAUGAACUAAUUGCCCAGGAGUUCCUAA